AGGAGUAAAGCUCAGCAGUAGAGCACUUGCCUAGCAUGCGUGAGGCCCUGGGUUCGAUCCCCAGCACUGUGG
Molecule: transfer RNA, 72 nt
Filed under: Heterocephalus glaber (naked mole-rat)
Lineage: Eukaryota; Metazoa; Chordata; Mammalia; Rodentia; Bathyergidae
Rfam family: tRNA
About the family: Transfer RNA (tRNA) molecules are approximately 80 nucleotides in length. Their secondary structure includes four short double-helical elements and three loops (D, anti-codon, and T loops).
Source: Rfam by way of RNAcentral